This 73-nucleotide transfer RNA is filed under the name Cellulomonas oligotrophica. Its description in RNAcentral is "tRNA-Thr". It matches the Rfam family "tRNA". From Rfam's summary of the family: Transfer RNA (tRNA) molecules are approximately 80 nucleotides in length. Lineage: Bacteria; Bacillati; Actinomycetota; Actinomycetes; Micrococcales; Cellulomonadaceae. The record is from RNAcentral.
GCCGGAGUGGCGUAGUGGUAACGCAACUGUCUUGUAAACAGUUGUCGCGGGUUCGAUUCCCGCCUCCGGCUCC